UUUCUAGGGUUCUUUCCUCUCUUCUAGUAUUGAAUUUUAGGUUGGAUCUUGUCAUCAAAUUAUUAGGGAUUCUGCUUAAUCCUCCAUUUUCUGUAUUGUUAGUGAGCAGUAGAGCUUGAAUGAUAAACAUAUUCCUGUUUGGAUUUCGUUUCUGGUCUUCUUCUGCCAACUUUAUAUUUCCAGAAAUUGCCUUGAAGGUGCCAUGGGCGACUCUUAAUUUUGAAAAUGGGGAAGGAUUUUAGCCUAGAAGCCCCCCAAUGAGGAUGGGAACGGAAACAACAUCCUCCAGUCCCCCCAAAUACUGCCGCAGAUCGCCUUCUACUCCUAAAAAAGUCCGAAUAGGGUUGAGUCGUUUAACUACCAAGUAAUUUCUCGCUUAUCGUCUAUGUUUCAGGUCCAAAAGUAAGCCCUAAGAUCUGGUGGGAUUCAUGAUGCUGAUUUCAGAGGUUUGGAGGCAUUAUGAUUUGCUGAUUUCAAGCCCUAAGGGACCUGGAUUCAAAUCCUAAUAUGGCAUCAUAUGACUCUGGUGAAAGAAAGAAGAGAAGAAAAAGAUGUGCGGAUAAGAAUCUAAAACUACUGCAUAAAAUGAAAAUGAAGAGCCUGCUGUAUAUUGGAGUGCCUUCUGUAGAAUCCAAGUCCAUUGGUUUUGGUUUUUCUGCUUCUUGUUGUGCACUCUGCCCUGUUGAAGAGCCUUCUGAAUGCAUUGUCGUUGAAGUGCUUUCUUCACUGUUUGUAUCACUUGGUAACUGUUUCUUUCUUCCUGAACAUUGUUCCCUGUUGAAGAAUCCAGUGACAGUCUCUUUGCUGGAAUACUUUCUUCAUCCUCUGGGUCCAUUGGUCCUUGAAUGCUCUUUCCCUAUUGAAGAGUCCAGUGAUGGCUUUUUUGUUAGAGAAUCUACUGCAAAGUCUGGAUUGAUUGCAAAUCGAGGAAAGGAUGAUGGAAUGUGGCCUUUUGCAGCCUUCACACUGCAGUUGCACCUUAUGCAGAUCUCUUGAACUCCCAUGGUAGGUGGCAUUUUGCACCUUAUGCAGUUUAUUGCAUUCUUGUUAUAGUCCACUGCUGAAAACAAAUACUGUUUCAAGCUAUUUGGGUUGUCAAGCUGCAUUAAGUGCAUUGGCUGCUCAUGCAAUUGAUCCCGGUGAAGCAGAAAGACAAGUUCUUGGCAUUAUCUUAGGGCAAGGUCAACAAAUGACUGAUGCUUUUCUUUCCACCACUACAUCCAAACUAGUUGUGGUGCUGGUGUUGCAGUUUUUUGGCUGAAUGUUUUAUCUUGCUUUCUCAUAUUCCAAGAUGAUUAUUUACAACAGGUUGUUGAAAGUCAGAGAUUUAGGUGGUGUUUGUUUUUUUACUUAAUUCUAAAUAGAACCUUAAUACUUAA
This is an RNA transcript of Vitis riparia (riverbank grape), 1379 nucleotides long. RefSeq lists it as uncharacterized. The record is from RefSeq and is a predicted model, not a curated record. The transcript has 3 exons. NCBI's taxonomy places the organism in Eukaryota, Viridiplantae, Streptophyta, Magnoliopsida, Vitales, Vitaceae.